UCCUACAAACAUUUAAAAAAUCUUUUGCAAUAGCUAUCUCACGUCCCUCAGGAUAGCUCUUAGAUAGGCAAGGAGUCAAGUGGGCCUCUGAAAAUUAAGUUAGGCCAGGGUCACCCUGGAUAUUGGCAGUAAAGCCAGGAUUAAAUUCAAACGCGGACAUUUUUUUUUUUCUAUUCUCUUAAGUAUAAGGUCUUUUCUUCUAGGAUGUAAAGUGAAGAGACGGUAGGUGUCGUCUCCCCUCCCCCAUCUUCCGACCCUGUCCGGGGAUCUCAUUCCCGCGCUGCAGGUGAGCAGCACGUCACCGCGCUGUACUUCUCUUGGGCAUUUACUGCACCCUUUCCCCAGAAUGCCAUUACCUUAUGCUCUGCUCCCAGCAGUCGGUGCCUCCACGGUUCCUCCUAGGCACGCUAGGGUUCACGCCAACCUUUGCUCAACUAGUCAGAACGCAGCCAUCUUUGGCUGACACGUGACUAGGGUCAGGCGGGCGCUGAUUGGGCUUCCAGGACAGAGGUUGCCUGCAGUAGUAACUUCCUGCUAAGGGGCUUCCAGCCGAGAGAAGCGGUGGGCGGGAGAGUGAGGAGUGAGGGAGGAGUUUUCGGCAAGCUCGGAGGGUACUUGUUAACAACCUCCCCCCACCUUCCAGGACCGAGCUUGUGGAACUUGUGAAAUUUUGAUAUGAGAGUGACCGUAAUUCUUCUUUCACUGAAAACCUACGUUGGACACAUUACUUCAGUUCCUGGCCAAUAGAGCCUACCUCGUGUGUUGACAUGGGAUAUAUUGGAAACUGCACAGCCCUUGGGCAUACAAUAGAUGAGGAAAUGAAGGUGCAGAGAGGUGAAACAGCUUGUUAAAAGUCAUCCUGUUGGUUUCCCUUCUGGCCAAGUAUUUAACAGCCGUAUCUUCAAUGUGCCCACAGAAUUAUUUGUAUACCUUUUAAACCUUCUCUUGCUAUGUAUUCACAUUUUAAAUCUGUCUUCUAACUGUGAGUACCUUUUGGGUUAAAGACCAUUUCUUGCCGCAUUUUACCAAGUAUCUGAGAUAUAACAGGUGAGUAAUAAAUGUCUGGUGAAUUAAUGA
Suricata suricatta (meerkat) is the source of this 1077-nucleotide long non-coding RNA. RefSeq lists it as uncharacterized. The transcript is spliced from 3 exons. Lineage: Eukaryota; Metazoa; Chordata; Mammalia; Carnivora; Herpestidae. The record is from RefSeq and is a predicted model, not a curated record.